UAACCAUGAGUAAAGUGGCGCACGGGUGAGUAACACGUGACUAACCUACCCUUGAGUGGGGGAUAACUGAGGGAAACCUUAGCUAAUACCGCAUAAUACCCACGGGUCAAAGGAGCAAUUCGCUCGAGGAGGGGGUCGCGGCCGAUUAGUUAGUUGGCAGGGUAAUGGCCUACCAAGACGAUGAUCGGUAUCCGGCCUGAGAGGGCGCACGGCCACACUGGGACUGAAACACGGCCCAG
This 239-nucleotide ribosomal RNA is filed under the name uncultured bacterium. RNAcentral describes it as "partial 16S ribosomal RNA". It matches the Rfam family "Bacterial small subunit ribosomal RNA", at positions 81 to 334 of the family's 1533-position model. The record is from RNAcentral.